Molecule: long non-coding RNA, 1276 nt
Filed under: Anas platyrhynchos platyrhynchos (common mallard)
Lineage: Eukaryota; Metazoa; Chordata; Aves; Anseriformes; Anatidae
Description: lncRNA (ENSAPLG00000025055.1)
Source: RNAcentral
UCAUGGGGCCUCUCCCCCCCCCCCCCCCCCCACCCCGGGGGGGCCCCCCCCCCCGGGGGGCCCCCCCCCCCCCCCCCCCCAUCAAGACGGGGGAAGCGCUGCCUCAGGGGGCGCCUCGCAGCCCCUCAGCGGGAGCACGGCUCCCCCCCCUCAGCCUCAAGGCGAGCGUCUCCCCUCACCCCGCGGCUCCCCCGCCCGUUCCCGGCGGGGCCGAGCCGCCUCCCUCCCCUCAGCCCCGCCGCAGCCCCCCCGCCGCCAUUUUCUGACGAGCGGCACCCCCCCCCCCCGCCCCCCCCCCCCCCCCCCCCACACACACACUGCGCAUGCGCAGCGGCGCCGCUCGGGCCCUCUCCCCCACGUAUCCCCUUCGCCCCGCCCCUAAUUUGAAUAUGCUAACGAGGCACCGCCCGGCGGCCCAAUGGCGGGGCGGGGAGGCCGUCACGUGGGGGCGGGGCCGCGUGCCUGGGGGGCGUGGCCAGCCCAGCCCAGGCGGCUAUAAAAGCCGGCGGCGAGCGCGGCAGCGCCUCAGUCAGAGGCGGAGGGGGGCGGGCGGCGAAGGGGCUGCGGCUGCUCCGCCCGAAACUUCGGAAAGGGGGGGGGGCGGCAGCACCAGCAGCAACAGGGGGAGGGGAGGAGGAGGAGGAAGGAGAAGAAGAGGAAGGAGGUGGUGGUGGUGGUGGUCGGGGCGGCGGCGGGGGGGAAGGUCAGCAGCGGCGCAGCCCUCCCCGCCGCUCCCUCAUGAGCCAGCCCGUGCUGGGCUGAGCAGGCCCCGCACACAAAGGAGGGCAGGGCAGGCAGCGCUGCCCCCCCCACCCCCCUUCCACCUCCCCACCACCUUCCCUUCCCCUCACCCUGAGGGAAGGGGCGGCGGGGAGGCGCCCUUCCCCGUGCACAGCACUCACGGCCACUCGUUCCCCCCUCCUCUUCCUCCUCUUCCUCCCACCUUUGGUUUUUCCUCCUCCUUUCCCCCCCCCAGCCCCGGUCCAUGUAGCCGCCCCGGCCGCCGGCCCCUCCGCACUAUGCCCAUCUUACUCUUCCUGAUAGACACGUCCGCCUCCAUGAACCAGCGCACCCACCUGGGCACCACCUAUCUGGACAUAGCCAAAGGCGCUGUAGAGACUUUCAUGAAGGUACCGGCUGCAAGGAGGCGAGGAGAGAGAGAGAGAGGAGGGGAGAGAAACGAAUUGGGGAGGGGAGGGGGGGGGAGAGGGGAAAAAAAGGGAGGGGGGGGCUGCGGGGGGCGAGGGCGGCGGUGUGCGGGCACCCAGGGAGGGAG